CUCAUGUUUCGCUUCGAGGGCUACUUCGACGCCACUCAGAUAAGAGUGCAAACGAUCAAACAUAUCGUUAACUAUUUCGUCGCGAUUCAUCCUUGUACGAUAAAUAUCAACCACAUAGAACUCGAUGGGCUUGGCAGAAGCGAUCCGGUCUCUUAAUAAAUCUAUUCUGACCGAUACAGCCUUAUUGAAGAAUAUUUUAUUGAAUAAAGGUACAGACAUUCUUCAGAAAGAUUUUAGAAAUAUGUGAUAAAUAUCUACUUUUCAAUCGAUUAUUUUAAACACUGCACUCAAUUUUGAUGGAAGCAAUUACAUAUAGCUCCUACUAGAAACGUAUUAGUUACCCGGAAAAGGAAAUAGUAAAACAAUUGCUGACCGCCAAACAGGCAUACCUGUAAAAUACUUUAAAGUCGUGUGUUUCAUUCAGAAGGCACAAAAACUUGAUCGCUUAUGACUGCCAUGUUUGAUGUCAUUGGUGAAUCAUCGUCAACCCAGAAACCGAUCAAUCAUAUAAUAAGGUCUGGCAAAAUGGAAUAAUUUUCAAUGUCACCAAUAAACGCUAAAAACAAAGUAUUGAUUCCCAUCAUCAAAGAAGAAACCCGGAUAUCGUACAAACAUCGAUAACUGAAUUAUUGAAGUCAAAACCAUGACAUCGAAUACAAAAACCUCGAUAUUUUCAAUAUUGUCGAUAUGAAUGUCCUAUCGGUAAUAGUCAAAGAUCCCAUCGUAAAAAUUUAUCCUUCAUCGAACAUCAUAAUAAUUUACUUAAAAUUGAAAAACAAGUUUUCAGUCAAACAUGAAAACGUUGGUGCUCCUAAGAAUAUCCUGAGACGAUUAUGGCAAUUAAAGUAAUUUUGACAACGUAAGAAGGUGCAAAACUGUAAGGACUGUAAGUUGACGAACGGUGCCCGGCAAUGAUGUCAAAAUUUAGUUGUUUUUAAGAACACAGACGGUCUGGUGCAUUUCUGUUGGUCAUAUUCAGCUAGUUUAGCAAAGCAGAAUUCAGAAGUUAUCUUUUUAUAAUGCUAGGUCUCCAAAUAAAGUAACCGGAGUGUCCA
Molecule: long non-coding RNA, 1055 nt
Organism: Belonocnema kinseyi
Lineage: Eukaryota; Metazoa; Arthropoda; Insecta; Hymenoptera; Cynipidae
Exons: 3
Source: RefSeq, a predicted model, not a curated record